UAAGUUUUGUUCAUGUUUCAGGGUAGAGUUAGUGUUGCAGACAUCAUUGGAUUUUCUAGUUCAGAGAUGAUAUCUUCAAAACCUGAUGGGUCUUUAAAAGCUUGGGAGAGUUAUAUUGAUCUUGAAAAUCUCCUUAAGCAUGAAAUACAUGAUGGACAAUUAAGUUUCAGAGGCAAACAAGUACUUGAGGAACCCUGGCUGAUUUGCUUGGCACUGUUUCACGUUAUCGUG
Molecule: long non-coding RNA, 231 nt
Organism: Asparagus officinalis (garden asparagus)
Lineage: Eukaryota; Viridiplantae; Streptophyta; Magnoliopsida; Asparagales; Asparagaceae
Exons: 3
Source: RefSeq, a predicted model, not a curated record